GAUGAAUGCUGGCGGUGUGCCUAAUACAUGCAAGUCGAGCGAGAACCGUAGCAAUACGGGGACAGCGGCGAAAGGGACAGUAAUGUGUAGGUACCUACCUCCGGGUUCGGGAUAGCUGCGGGAAACUGCAGGUAAUACCGAAUAACGUCUCCGGACCAAAGGUGUGAUUCCACCUGGAGAGGGGCCUGCAUCCUAUUAGCUUGUUGGCGGGGUAACGGCCCACCAAGGCGACGAUGGGUAGCGGGUGUGAGAGCACGACCCGCGUCAUUGGGACUGAGACACUGCCCAGACACCUACGGGUGGCUGCAGUCGUGAAUCUUCGGCAAUGGGCGCAAGCCUGACCGAGCGACGCCGCGUGCGGGAUGAAGGCCUUCGGGUUGUAAACCGCUGUCGUAGAGGAGGAAAUGCAGGGGGGUUCUCCCCUCUGUUUGACCUAUUCUAGGAGGAAGUACGGGCUAAGUUCGUGCCAGCCGCCGCGGUAA
Molecule: ribosomal RNA, 482 nt
Filed under: uncultured bacterium
Lineage: Bacteria
Description: partial 16S ribosomal RNA
Rfam family: Bacterial small subunit ribosomal RNA
Source: RNAcentral